RNAcentral lists this ribosomal RNA (423 nucleotides) under uncultured bacterium. RNAcentral's name for it is "bacterial SSU rRNA". It matches the Rfam family "Bacterial small subunit ribosomal RNA", at positions 79 to 537 of the family's 1533-position model. The record is from RNAcentral.
GCAACUCCGGUCAGUGGCCGGACGGGUGAGUAACGCGUAGGUAUCUAUCUCCGGGUGGGGGACAACGGUUGGAAACGACUGCUAAUACCGCAUGACGCCCGAGGGCCAAAGCAGCGAUGCGCCUGGAGAGGAGCCUGCGUACGAUUAGCUUGUUGGCGGGGUAACAGCCCACCAAGGCGACGAUCGUUAGCUGGUCUGAGAGGAUGAUCAGCCACACUGGGACUGAGACACGGCCCAGACUCCUACGGGAGGCAGCAGUGGGGAAUAUUGGACAAUGGGCGCAAGCCUGAUCCAGCAAUGCCGCGUGAGUGAAGAAGGUCUUCGGAUUGUAAAGCUCUUUCGACGGGGACGAUGAUGACGGUACCCGUAGAAGAAGCCCCGGCUAACUUCGUGCCAGCAGCCGCGGUAAUACGAAGGGGGCUA